GCACGUUUAUCCUUUCGGACGCAUGAAGCUCAAUCAGGAAACGGGGAUUGAGU
Molecule: non-coding RNA, 53 nt
Submitted as: unclassified sequences
Source: Rfam